GUCAAAGAUUUGCAGAUGCUAGCUGGGUGUUGUGGUCACCAAAUAUACGUCAGGACUUAUAUAUCCACAAAUUGUUAUAAGGUUGCCACAUUUUUCCAUCGUCUCAUCUUAACUAAGGAUGUCAAUAUUUCUGGAGCCCACUAGUCACUGCAAGGAAAAUAAAAAGGAAACAACGCAAACGUCAGUGCAAGAGCAAAGAGCUACCUCCCAAAAUGCUAUCUGUUUUCAAUCAACUGGAAAAAGAACUGGUUGCACUCUAUCUGAGAGAUUUCCCUCAAACCCAGAAGCGCGUGCAGAGAGUGUGUCUUAUCAUCGGGACAUUUGAAGAAGAUUUCAGACGUGCUACUGGAGUCAUUACACACGCAUUAAAUGCAGAAGUGGCUGGAGGGUUGAUGAUGGGUUUGGGGUUAGUUUUAGCUCCAGUUCAUCAGGGCAUUUCUGCUCUUAUCGCAGGAGCGGGAGCAGCUGUGGUUUCAGGCGCUGCACUCUGUGAUACAAUCUGGAACAAGAAGAUCGUGAGCCUGCAGGCAAAAAUAAUACAAGACACUGAAGCUGAACUGAGCGAAUUUCAGCAUAAAAUCAGCCCUAUGCUGGACAAGAUGAAUGAGAUCAGUCAGCAUGUUAAUGAAAUAUUGAGAGACCUCAGUUACCCAGAGCGUGAUGUUGGGUAUUUAAGUCAAUAUUUUUCAUCUGCCAGUGAAUUAGUGCGUUUCAUACAGAUAUAUGACAUUAGUGUGUUGGCUGCGCAGAUAAAGUCUCAGACAUCAUGUUUGCUCGGAGCUCGAUUUAUCAGAGUUAUGCCAGCUAGAAUGGCACUCCAGCAGAUGUGGAUAGAAAUCGUUCAGUUAGAGAAUGUCAUGGAUGAAAUUACUAAAACAAUAGAAAGAAUAGCAAAUCAGCCCGACUAAAUAUAACAAUAUGAAGGGCUAAACAAAGCAAGAAAGCUCUUUGACUUGACUUGCUCUGACUAUUCCUGGGAUAUAGAAACUAUAGAAUUUAAUGUCUGUUUGUUGGUAUACAUUUACAUGUAAGAUUACAAACACUUUUUUUUUUUUUUUGUCAGCUGUUGAAGUUUUGGUUCCUUGCCGCUAUCGUCUUUGGCUUGAGUAGUUGGGGACACUAGAUAUUCAAUAAUGUUGUUUUGAUAUGCCCGCAUUGACACCAAUUGUAUGCGAACUUAACUGAGCUGGACCAUGACAUCACUGUCUUCUCCAGUGCUGAUAUAUAGAUAAAUAACUAUUGAUUUCUACAACGGAAUGAAUCAAUACUGAAUUUAUUUAAGCUGGACAAUGACACAAUUUUCUUCUAGAGCUGUUGUGCAGUUAUCACUGUAAAGCUGCUUUGACAAUCUGCAUCGCUGUAAUAAAGGUGACUUGACAUUAUGCAAAACAUACACAAGAGCUUCGAUCAGGACUGCAACAAGGUUUGUCUUCUGUAAUGCUGUGAAGAUGUUUUGUUCAUUGUGCAGUUUGUGUUAGUAAUUUGUGCAGGUCAUUUAUUCGAGGCGAUGCAGCGAAAUAAAAACCCUCAAAACGAAACCGAAACUACACACACGGGGCGAAAACAACAAAUUUAUAAUUCGUUUUUGAGAUGAGAUAGGCCCUCAUUAAAAAAGACAUACAGCAACUUGACUUAUUAUUUGUACCCUGCCACUGAUCUUAAAGGAAACUGUCACUGAUCUGAUGAAACAGUUUCGACUCGGACCGAAGACCUCUGAGCCGCUGAUAUGCACAAUUUAUGAAUUGAAUGGUGAAAUUAAAGUUAUGAUUUCUCAUUGUUUAUGUAAAAAGCACCGUUCCUUAAGGCAAGACACUGCAGGAAAAAGCGUGUUGUUUCAGACUAGAAAAAAAAUCUUCCAAAAUACACAUUUAACUGUUUAUUUUAUUGCACUUUAUAUAUAUACAUAUAAUCACACAAACAAACACAUGCUAAAUCUAGCUUGAAGGCAGAAAAUGUGCUCGUGAUGCAUGUUCACACCCAGCUUUCUUCUUCAAGCCAAUAAAUAUCAGUCCAGUGAGCGUCUCAGACACUUUCUGAUCUUCAGCUCAGACUCAUCGAGACUCUUUCAUUCACACAAACUCAAGAACAACUCAAAGGAUGAGAACGGAGGUUUUCCUCGUGCUCCUCAUGACUCUGGUGUCCACUGAUGGACUGAAUAAUGUCACGUUCAACCGAGAGAAACGGGAUCUUUUCUCUAACAGUGCAUAUCCCUGCCAGAGAUCUCAGAAUAACAACGCAUAUAAUACUUUUAAUCGCCGACAUAUUCUCUCAGAGGAUUUUGACAGGAACAGUGAAAGGGCUUGGGCAUUUUAUCUCAAUAGAAAGGGUCUUUGUGGCAGAACACCUGUUCAGUCCUUCCUCUCUAGAAGGUACAGCGAUAGAAUUAAAAGAAUCUGCAACGGAGAAGGCACCAGAGACACAGGAAACUUGUGCAUCAGUAUGAGAAGUUUCACAGUGUACAUUGUUGAAAGUUCUGUAAGAUACAGAGAGUGUGAAGUUCAUGUUCGUCGUGAGAACUCUUAUGUGAGUGUUGCUUGUGAGGUCAUUGAUAACGAAUGUGUGCCUGUUCACUAUGAGGAACAAACUAACAGGCGGCCGUCCCAACGUGGUCAGAUCUGCAGACCUUAAGCAGAGGAUGUACUAAGGAUACAUGUUUAACCAUUAAUUAAAACGUUGCUAUGCCACAUGCAUGUAUAAACUGGAUAUAAUUCCAGAAGCUUCUCAAUAAAAGCUUUCUUAGCACAGCGCAGUUUGGUUUUAUAAAACAAACUGAUGAGAUGUGUAGCUCAAAUGCAAUGUAAGUCACUUUAAAUAAAAGUAUCUGCCAAAGCCAUUAAUGUGUCUGUUCUUUUGUGAAAUCAUUUUAAAUGUGUUUGAGUCGAGACACCCCAGGUGAAUGCGAUAAGGGAAAUAAAUAAAUAAAUCUAAUUAGUAUCACAAUUUUUUCAAACAUUUUCUGUACUACACAUUUUCUGAAAUGUUAUGUUUGAAUGUGUUAAUGAGGCAAUAUAUAAUAAAAUAUGCACUAACACAAAUUUUUAGAAAUCUAAACACUGGAUCAGUGUUUGGGUAACAUUACAAGUAUGUAAUCAGAUUACUUUUUCAAGUAUCUAGUAAAGUAACACAUUACUUUCAAUUUGAC
Cyprinus carpio carpio is the source of this 3142-nucleotide long non-coding RNA. Lineage: Eukaryota; Metazoa; Chordata; Actinopteri; Cypriniformes; Cyprinidae. The record is from Ensembl.